Molecule: long non-coding RNA, 1000 nt
Filed under: Bemisia tabaci
Lineage: Eukaryota; Metazoa; Arthropoda; Insecta; Hemiptera; Aleyrodidae
Description: lncRNA ENSSSA3NGG003385
Source: RNAcentral
GACUUUCGUCUUUCGUGUUGUUUGUGUGUUUCUGGUCCAGAGAUAUAACCUCAAUUUUAGUGCUUUUGCUUUUGUACUUUUUCAUUUUCAUCCUAAUUUACAAGAGUUCAAUACUAAUUUGUUGAGUGACUAACUGUGGGUGAUCUUUGAUAAGUCAAAGUCUUCUGAGUGUCAUUGAAGGACAAAUGCCUGGCAUUUUUCAUCUUCGAUGUUGUGUUCUUGUGUAACUUCAAAUACUCGGUGCCCAUUAGAUUUUUCAAAACCAUUUGCACUUUGCCCCUUGGAUUGCAAACUUUCUAAUAAUUUACUAUGUUUCCAAGUGUAAUCUUUCCCAUGGGUUUACAAGAACCCUCAGCAUGUCUAUCACCUCAGCCAAAUCUUAUCUUUAAAAAAUAUGGAACGAGUGGAAUUCCUAAUUGAGUUGCGUUUGCAUAGUCUUAAUGGCGGUGGGCAGUAAAACGACAAUGUCUGAAGCUGCACCAUCAUCGAAUGUCAAUGUCAUCUAUUGGAGUGUAAAGCAUGUCAAACAGUGGCUGCAUGAGAAAGGGUACGAUGAGCGGCUGCGAUCAACAUUCGAAAAAAUCGCAUUGACGGAAAAGCGUUGCUGCUCCUCAAUGAUUCCGACCUCCGAUCUCCGUUGCUCAACAUAACUGCUCUAGGUGAUAUGAAAAGGCUGAAUCUAGAUAUCAGACAACUGAAAGCAGACAAUCGUCAAUCUAUCCAAGAGCUUGGGUUCGAUCCGACAUCUCUUCUGCAUCUCUCACCUUGCUCACCGUAUGGUAAAGGGCUCUCCUCAUCCAAUCCUUAUUAUUACGAUUCAUAUAAUGAAUUAGGAUACACGGAUCCUGAUGUCUGCUACACGCACUCAACGCCGUCAUCAGAAGAUGGCCUGGCAACCAAACUGAGACCUGAGGUAAGUUCUUUUUUCAACAUCUUUCACUCCUACAGAAUGCAAUUCAUAGAAAUGUUGCAAAGGAAUUUACUAUCCAAAAAUUUGUCU